GGGCUCACUUCGGCAACACAUAUACUGAAAUUGGAAUGAUACAGAGAAGAUUAGCAUGGCCCCUGCACAAAGAUGACACGCAUAUGUGUAAAGCAUUCCAUGUUUUA
Molecule: small nuclear RNA, 107 nt
Organism: Gorilla gorilla gorilla (western lowland gorilla)
Lineage: Eukaryota; Metazoa; Chordata; Mammalia; Primates; Hominidae
Source: Ensembl